GGCGCCGCAGCCCGCGACUUCCACAGACAGCCAUCCAGCCAUCCAGCCUCCCAGCCAGCCAUCCAGCCUCCCAGCCAGCCAUCCAGCCUCCCAGCCAGCCAUCCAGCCAGCCGGUGUUUCCUUCCUGCUGCAGGCCAAUCCGCUCAUUGUCGCCGUGUUGGGUUACAAGUGACAAGGGCCUUGUCUGAACCACGACUUUUACCAAGAUAAUAUUACAGGUUCACAGCUGAUCCAUCUCCCAGUGCACAAUUGAGACAGAGGAGGUUAAAGCACUCUGAACACGUGGGGCCAUAUUGCAGCGCCUCCCAGCACUCUUCCAUGUUCUCCUCCAUCUGCCUCCUGUCCAUUGAUCAGCCUUCCAGGGCAUCAGUCUGUUUAACAUCUGCUACAAGUUCCAGCAGCUCAGUCACUGCCAACAUCGCUGGAUUCCAGCAGACUUACUCUCUGAAUAGUUUUCCAGAGCAGAGAUGGGAGAGGUUGCGAUCUGCAUCAGCAUGUGAUUCCCAGCGUGUUCUUAGGAGAACCGGCUCUGUGACAUAUGGAGAUGCUCGCCGCCGCAGCCACACCUGGCCGACUCUCUCCUCUCUCUGUACAGAUGAUAUCACAGCGCUAACUGCGACAAGAUUCCCACAAGGCUCUCCUUUACAGUGAAGCAUGUCAUCUGACCGUGUCGCCCAGCUAAACCCAAAUAUUGUGCAUCGUUGGUAAAGAAAGGUCAGACAACUUGUGAGUCGGGUAUUACAGGUUGUGUUCUCUAAUUAAGUAUUCAUAAAGCAGCAGUGGGAGCACAGUAUAGGUUUACAUGACAGUGGUGGUUCCCCCUCGCCCCAUAUGUAAUGCUUGGCUUUCUCCCCACGGGCAGACAGGCCAUCAGUCCUAGUGUACUUCCAGCAAUGAUAUCAAAAAGGUUUUUUGGUCAAGCCAAAGAGAGGUCACUCUAAUAAUACCCAAGGUCAGUGGUGGGAGCCAGCAAGUCUCCCAGUCAUUAUUCAUUUGUUCACAAAGUUAAUGACAGUUGCAGGGGAACGAGAACUUGGAGCCAGUAGCCAUGUGAUGUCACUAACACAUGCCAGGGGAUUAGGAGGGCAGGCAGAGGACAAGGAGUGUGGAUUAUACAAGGGGGAAAAAAAGCCACCUUUACUGCUCCAUCACCCAGCUCUUCAUGUUUACUGCUGGAGUUAUGACAAAUACAUGGAGAGAUCACUGAAUCAUGACAAGUGGAUGAUACUGAAACAAACACAUCAAAGAAACGCUGUAGUAGUAAUAAUAAGAGUUUUAUUUAUUCAGCUUGAAUGUUCUGUUGAAAGAUAUUUCACAUGUUUAACGCCCUCACCUUGAAGAGAGAACAUGCUGCUAAGCCAGUCUCCAUCAUUCAUUUACAGCCUUUUGGUAAAUGACAAAAUAUUGUGGAUGUUUUUAUGGUGAGAGGUGAUCCAACGAUUUCAGCCUCUCUAAUUUACUUCCCUUUAACAAAUGACAGUGUUUCAUAGUCACCACAUUAUACGUGAUGUUGUAGUGAAGCACAGAGACAACACUGGCAGGAAAACUGGAGCCUGUGGCUUUCACACAGAGAGAAUGAACAAUGAGCACACCUUAUUCAGUCAUUGGGCAGGCAGCGCACAGUGAACAAUGAACCCCUCCCUCCUGUCUAGCACCAUGUCUGAUAAUGACCACAUCCACCGCCGCUGAUAGCGCUCCUCUUUUAUGACCUACAUGUGCAUAAAUACGGCUCAAAUAAAACAUCCAGGAAGGGUUUUGAGCAUUUGGUGAGCUGUGCACAAGUAGCAACAGACACUGUAUUUUUCUUUCUGUAAAUAGCCAUAUGUUGCAUAUCUACCUACAGUACUGUACCCACCACGAAGUGAAACUGUAUGGUUUUGUUUCCUGCACCAAAAACGCACCUUAUGUUUCAUCUAAAUAACAAUUAGCCAAAGCCUUUGUUGCAGAUCAGCUGUUAAAAGAGUGCUGUCUUGUUCCUUCAGUUACAUCUGCUAAAGAAUAACCUGCAUUUUGUCAAAUGCAGGAAUCUGCCUUUUUGGCCUUUGUCUCAGCAGCUAACAUGUAGUGGAUCCCCUGUUUGAGCAUAAGGUCAGAGUAUAAAUAUGAACUGCAUUUUGCAUUACUUUCAGAUGAGUGAAGCUGUCAGACUAAUAAUAUGAGCUUUCAGUCCUACUUUCUGCCACUUAUCCCCCAUUCUAGGACCAAGGGGUCAUGUGAAAAUUGAAAAUGACAGUCAAAGCAGCAUGUUGAACAGGCUGAUUGGACCGCGCUGUCAUCGUCCAGAUCAGAGCUCUUUAACACCAGGCCUAUCAGACGCCUUCCUCUGUGGAAGCCACUGGAUCCCAGUAAGAAAAAUAAAAUGCUUUUGAAGGAAAGAAAAUAUCACUAAACCAAAAAUUGUUGGUGUACUGGAAACCGAGAAUCAAAACAGCCCCACAGAUUAUAAAAGCGGUCUACACAACAAACUGAAAACGAUUCCACUAAUUAACAAGAAAGGCAAAGUUUUAAUCAGUUGUCUAAAAAACUUAACGGCAAAAACAAAAGCAUCAGAGUUCACUGAGGGGCUUCUCUCUCCGACAGGAUUCAGCUCUCGUUUCCAGUUUCAGCUGAAUGAAGUCCGGUGGUUUUCCUUUGUGGCCGUUUGAAUGAAAAUGUUUGUAUCACCUGUUUUGCAGAUGAUUUAAUGAGCGCACAAUGCUGUCACAUGAAAGAAUUUUUUUACUCCAUCGAAAGCAUUCCCUGUCAAUUUAUAUUUUGUUUCAUAUGCAGCAUUGCAUGAAGCUCUGUCGCAAGCAAUCAGCUCUCUGUCAGCCAUUCAGAUGAUAAUAAAUCACGUCACUACCACUUCUACUUGGGUCCAUCUUUGAAACAGAGGAAGAAUGAAAUAUUUUUGUCAGGUGGGAGAAAAACUUAUGAUCCUUUUAUGUCCUGCUGAGAACCCUUGAAAAUAAUAAUACACCACAGCAGAAACACAUGAACGACUGAAAGGCACUGAUUGUUAUAAAUCAGAUGGGAUUUGCAUAUUUUGCCUCCCUAACAGGAAGCAGGCAAAAUAAAUCACAUGACUAAUGGAGAAAAAAAAAAGGUUACAAAACACACUGAGAAGUUAGGGUUCACAAUAAGACAGAUAUGUUUCUCCAGAAUUCACCUGUGAUUGAAAAUGUGAGGAUAUGGAGGUAAAAGCUUCUUGGAAAAAAAAAAUCAUUUUUUUAAAUUCUCAUAUCUGAAAGACUCAUAAUUUGAAAAAGUCAAAUAAUGAUAUAGUUAUCAUUUGUAUAUUUGACCUUUGUUCACCUCCCCUUCAGUUCACUUCUCUCUAAUGUAAUCAGUGAACAAAUUUACUUUUACCAGUAAAGUACACUGAAGCUCACCAUCAAAUCAUCCUGGUCCUUGCUUAGUCGGUUAACUUAGGCAUCAAAGUGUCAAAUCUUGUUUGUCUUUGCUUUGGUGUGAGUUGUGGCUUGCUGUGAAGUGAAGAAGACAUUGUCAGACUUGUUGUUAGUUUAUCAUUGUGAACUGUGCUAGAAUAUUAAUACUAUUACAUCAUGUAGAAGAAGUAGCCAGACUAGAGUCAUGUCAGUUCUGGGGUUUUCCUGGACUGCACUGACAAGGGUUAUAAGAAAGCUUAAACAUCAACUGUCCCAACAGCCUUGAGAUGCAAACAUCCAGACUUGAAGGAAAAAUUCCCAGUGUUGGUUUUUGUCCUGAGCUGUGAUUGGUUGAAACAGCUUGACUCAACACUUGGACAAAAUUUCCUACAACAUGUCUACUGGGGCUUUGCUUUGCAGCAGACUGCUCUGUGUCAUCAUACAUGUCUGGUGUGUGUGUG
Molecule: long non-coding RNA, 3829 nt
Organism: Monopterus albus (swamp eel)
Lineage: Eukaryota; Metazoa; Chordata; Actinopteri; Synbranchiformes; Synbranchidae
Exons: 5
Source: RefSeq, a predicted model, not a curated record